This 4112-nucleotide long non-coding RNA is filed under the name Solanum tuberosum (potato). Its description in RNAcentral is "long non-coding RNA (STUB_LNC007753)". The record is from RNAcentral. Lineage: Eukaryota; Viridiplantae; Streptophyta; Magnoliopsida; Solanales; Solanaceae.
CUUUCUCUAUUCUCUCUACGUUCAAUGUCUGCUUCUCCUCUUUGUUUCUAAAUUCCUCUCUGCGUUCCCUCCCGCUCCGAUUUCACUCUCUGAGAUCUAUGGCUAGUUUAAUGCAACGUUGAGUUUGGUGACGCUCUGAAUUGAAUUCUGGACUGUGAAUAUAUACAUGACGACAGAGGCUCAAUAUGGCGAGUUUAUGGUUACGGUACUCUUCUCCUUGCUUAUUGAUGAUUUUAGUUCCUGCUUAUUCUAAUUGUUUUAGUAUUAUCUAGAGCUAUACUUGUGAAAUGGAAAAUAUCAUCUGCAUUGUUGUCAUUUGAGUUUUGACAUGCAUUAGCUAUUCAAUUUUUGUUAAUUGGUUGGGUUUAUUGCGUCAAAGCUUGAUUAAUUGUGAUUCACCCAAAUUAUUUAUGGAGGCUAGACGUUUUCCGUAAAUUGAUUCUUUUCCGUCAUUAAAUAAUGGAAAAGUUGUAGUAAACUGUGCUAAUCAGUUUUGUUGGUCAAUUAGGGCAAAUAUAACCCAAUUUUAAGAUGGCAAGGACACCAUUGACGCCAAUAAUUAAUGAAGAGUAUAUAUAGACCAUUUCAUAUAGUUGAGCAAAUUUGACUCUUUGCCCUUUGAGCAAUUUGGAUGUCAAGCUUGAAUUACAAUAGAAAAUGAACAAAAUACUGCAGUUAAAGUAACAACUAAACUGCAAAAAACGAUGAGACAUCUUUGCCUCGGGAUAGAUGGUCAUAUACUGCAAAAAUAAUGCAACCUACUGCACCCAAGGGUGAGAGACCUAGUGGUCAAUGAAGUGGUUGAGAACUCUGAGGUCAAUUCUUUAUGGAAGAAACAUAAUAUCUAAAAUUUAUCCAAUAAGCACACACAUAUGACAUAACAAAACAGUUUUAGGGACGGGUGUAACGUCAUCAUAUUCUAAUUAAAUCUUGUGUUCAGGUUUGAGACUAAUGAUUUGAACUUCAUUAAUGUGCCCUUUUCCUUAUUAAUCCCACAACAUUUUCUAAUAAAUUAGUUGCAGCCAUUAAAUUUUGCUUAACGGAAGUAUUUCACUCGACUUAUAUAUAAAGUUAACCAAAAAAAAAUACUCAAUCAAACAAAGUGAGACGUAGUAUCAGAUAUACUGCGCAAAUCAAAGUAACAGCCAGUCAGCAAGCUUCCUACAUAUGUUUGACAUAGUUGAUACACCUAAAAAAGCACAAUCAUGCACACAUUUUUUUCACCACAUUACUAUAGAGAAUUAAGAAAAGAUCAUUGCAACUGCAAGCUUGUUGCAAACAAGUGAACCAAUAUCUUCUAUCGAGCAGCUAGUAUUGUGAUGGGGGUGUCACUCACUGUAAUCUGUGCAGAUUGGCUAGGAGUGAAAUCACCACCCGGUGCAUUUCCUUCUAUGUAAAAACCUGGUUGUUUAGCCAACGGCAACACACCUUCAUUGUUUAACAUCAGAACUGCGGAAGACAUACUUAGACGAUCUUCAGGACAUUGUUGGACACAUAAUAAACCAACACUAAUUGAUCGUACCACUUCAGAUGUUGAACAAGAAUCACCUAGGCAUUCAUCAAGUAGUUCUAUUGACCUACCUUGUAUAUAAAGUUUCCAUGCCUGUAGAUAUUGCAAGCUUAUUAGCAGGGGUCGUUUUACAAGAUAUUUGUUACUAGUAUAUAACAUACACCAAGGAAUAAAUAAAAUUAAACAACUGCACCCAAGGGUGUGACCUAGUGGUCGAUGAUCAGUUUCAAAUUCCAGCAGAGACAAAAAACACUAGGCAAUUUCUUCCCAUCAGUCCUAACCUUGUUGGACAGAGUUACCCGGUACCUAUUGGUGGUGGGAGUUUGCAGGUAUCCCAUGGAAUAAGUUGAGGUGUGCGCAAGCUGGCCUCGGCACCACGACAACAACAACAUAACUAGUAUAAUCCCACAAGUGGAGUUUGGGGAGGGUAGUGUGUAUGUAGGCCUUACCACUACCUCGUUGGUAGAGAGACUAUUUUUGAUAGACGCUUGGCUCAAGUAUGUUGGCUCCAACACCUCGGUUAUCAAAAAAAUAAGAAAUAAAACAAGUAAAAUCUUACAUGCCCGAGUAGAUUAAGGUUAUGAUCUGGAUGAGAGAAUUUUCUGUUGCUUUUCCCACUGACAAUUUCCAAUACUAAAAUACCAAAGCUAAAUACAUCUGAUUUUACUGAGUAUUUUCCGUGCAAUGCAUAUUCCGGUGAGAGGUACCCACUGCAUUAAAAUGUGCGCAACAUUAUAAUUAGUAAUGCUGGAAAACAUGCCUUUACUAACUGAAGAUUCUUCUUUGGUUCAAAUUAUUAUCCAGUAAAUCUUAUCAAAAUAAUACUAUCCAGUGGAAGGUUCUUACUAUGUUCCAACUACUCGGUUUGUCAUGGCUCCAAUGUCAUCCUCUUCACAUAUUUUUGCCAAGCCGAAGUCUAAUAUCUUUGGAUUCAUGUCCUUGUCUAGCAGAAUGUUGUUAGCUUUCAGGUCUCUGUGAAUUAUUCUCAAUUGAGAAUCUUGAUGCAGAUACAUAAGUCCCCGAGCUAUACCAUUGAUAAUGUGAAAUCGCUUAGGCCAGUCUAAUGCCUUGCUUUGUGUGUCAUCUGCCAAUUUUUUUUGUUGGGUCAUUAACUGACUAAUUGGUUAUAGGAGAAAGUAGUAUUAAAUACUCCCACAACAGGUUUGGUCUAUCAAUAUUUUUCCUGCUUUAUGGGGCUUUCAUAAUUGGAACAAAAUUACCAAAGUACUACUAGUUACUUUUACUUCAAAAUAAAAAAGAUUAAUGAAGUAUUACUAUAGGCAUCAUCACUGAAACACAAUUAUUUAUUUAAUUUGCACAAUAUUGGAUGGAGAAUAGUACCAAAUAUAAAUGAAUCAAGACUCCCAUUCGGCAAGUACUCAUAGAUCAACAUCUUUUCUUCCCCGUCACUGCAGCAACCAAGAAUCUUCACCAGAUUCCUGUGCUGAAGUCUUGCAACAUAUAAAACUUCAUUCUUGAACUCACCUUCUCCUUGUUUGGAAGUUCUGGACAGCCGUUUGACAGCUAUUUCCCGUCCUUCAAGUAUGCCCUAAACAUCACAAUUUCUGCAUGUUAAUAUUUUCAUUACCUUACUUGAUGUAGGAAGUACACAGAGUCAAUUGUGUUCCAAUUAGAAAGAGACAAUCAGUUUGUGUUCCACCGUAUCCUUGUUCUUCCUUAGCUAUUGUGUAUGUCUCCUUCGGUUUCACAAGCCAAAGCUUUAUUUCAUUAUGCAUUUCAUCAUACAACUUCUAUACUGAAUCUAAAGAUGAAACUUUACUCUAUAGGAUCAGGAAGUUUUUGCCUGUGCACCAGUUAUACCUUGUAAACCGGUCCAAAGCCCCCCUCUCCAAUCUUUCUGUCUAUUGAAAAGUUAUUGGUAGCCUUCAUUAUGGUAGAUAAGUCAAACAUUGGUAUCUCAAAUUCUUCCUCACAAUUACCACUAUGAUCCAUCUUGUAGUUGCCAUUGCGUCCGGACCUACCUGCCUGCAAACGAAGUGAAUUUUGUUUAAGCUGUGAUCCAGACCAAAUAUUAAAGUUCUUCACUUUUCUUUGAAUUAUGUUCCUUGAUUUUGCUAAGAUGUCAAUAAAAAAUGAGAUUUAUCCUAUUUUACCUUUCCUUUUGAGCUGUAAAGCCUUCUUCCUUCUUCUAUGGAAGAUCAACAUGCUAAGAAUUACCAGAAUCAGACCAACUGAUAAUGGCAGAAUCCAGAAAAGUACUUUUCUUUUCUUUCCAUCUGAUUUCUCCAGACUAUCUGCAAGUAUCCAUUCCGCAAAAAUAAUCAAUUUCACUUUCUGUCCAAUCCACGAGGGAGAUAAUUUUAUAUUGAAUUAAAAAAGAUUCUGUAAGCCUUUGGAGUACUGCACAUCAUUUUGAAUUUGUUGAUAUUGAGUUGUAAGGGUUCUAGAAUUCAAUAUAAUGCAAGUCAUUUUUAAUUUUUGAAUGUUACUAUAAAUCUCUUUAAUUUUGAGAAGAUUUUUUCUUUGAUUCAAGCCGCAUGCAUCUCAACUUCUUGUUCUACAGAAAACUAAAUACCUAUCAAUUGGUUCCAAAGAAGUGACUGCAACCAUACAUUCUUUUACUAUUUUCAGGUAAUCCAUC